Molecule: long non-coding RNA, 797 nt
Filed under: Sorghum bicolor (sorghum)
Lineage: Eukaryota; Viridiplantae; Streptophyta; Magnoliopsida; Poales; Poaceae
Description: long non-coding RNA (SBIC_LNC010985)
Source: RNAcentral
GCGCAACAGAUGCAGCUUGGCCACGAUGGCUGCGGAGGAUCGACGAUGAACGCGGCGGCAGCCUAGCAGGUCUCCAAUCGGCGCAACGGACGCAGCUAGCCGUGGAGGAUCGCAGCUGGACGCGAUGGCCGCGGAGGAUCAACGAUGGACGCAGCGGCCGCCCAGCAGGUCUCCAACGUCUGCAGCCGGCGGCCCAGCAGGUUACGUCAAAAUAGAAGGACUCCAACGAAGAUUUUUUUUUAUAUUUUUUUGGGUUCGUUGCUGAUUUGAUCGUGCGUGGUCUCGCGGCUUCGUUCGUGUGGGUCUCUUGCGAGUCUUGAGAUGGAUGGUACAGGGUGAGAAGCCUAGCUUCUCACAUCCAAUCGUGACCCUUGAUUUUAAUGAUAGUAUUUUAUUAGUCUUUGAUUUUAAUGGAGAUAAAUUCUUAUAUGCAUUAUUCUAGGUACACAAUGGUUGAAGACUCUCAGCAGGGGACGUUUUACUGGGUGGAUCAAGUAUAAUUUAAGUAUUCCAUUAUAGUAGAGAUUAGAAGUCUUAAGGGAGGCAUCACGUUAAUUCCCACCGGAUGCGAUAGGAAAAAGGAUAAAUUUUAGAAAUUCUCACAAUAAUCAGAAAUAUCUAGCCCUUGAUUUGGUAGGGUCUAAUCAUCAUCAUAGAUAUUAGCCAUUAGAUCUAUUGUAGUUUAUUAAAGAAUAACCACCACUGCCACUAUGAAAAAUACAUAAAGUAACCCCUUAAUUUUGAAUAUAAAUUACCCACCUCUGCCAUUAUAAAAUAUAAUUCAAAAUAACCCCCUA